This is an RNA transcript of Perca flavescens (yellow perch), 1867 nucleotides long. It is a transcript of the gene named H-2 class II histocompatibility antigen, E-S beta chain, with no coding region annotated. The record is from RefSeq and is a predicted model, not a curated record. Lineage: Eukaryota; Metazoa; Chordata; Actinopteri; Perciformes; Percidae. The transcript is spliced from 7 exons.
CAGCUCUCAGUGACACUGAGUCAGUGUUUGUUAAGAGAACAGAGGAACAUGGCUUCAUCCUUUCUCAGGGUCUCCCUGCUCUUCAUCAGCCUCUACACAGCAGAUGGAUUUCGGAGUUAUGGUCUGGACCGUUGUGUGUUUAACUCGUCUGAUCUGAAGGACAUCGAGUACAUCUACUCUCAAUAUUACAACAUGGAGGAGAUCGCCAGGUUCAGCAGCAGUUUGGGGAAGUAUGUCGGAUACACUGAGUACGGUCUGUACUGUGCUGAUUACUGGAACAAAGAUCCUUCAGAACUGGCUCAGAGGAGAGCUCAGAAGGAGACGUACUGCAAACACAACAUUGAUAUCUGGUACCCUCAUGCUCUGACUAAAUCAGCUGAGCCCUAUGUCAGACUGAGCUCUACGGAGCCCUCUGGUGGUAAACAUUCAGCCAUGUUGGUCUGCAGCGUCUACGACUUCUACCCCAAACAGAUCAGAGUCAAGUGGACCAGAGACGGACAGGAAGUCACCUCUGAUGUCACUUCCACUGAUGAGCUGGCAGACGGUGAUUGGUACUACCAGAUCCACUCUCACCUGGAGUACACGCCCAGGUCUGGAGAGAAGAUCUCCUGUAUGGUGGAACACGCCAGCCUGAAAGCUCCUCUGAUUACUGACUGGGAUCCGUCCAUGCCUGAGUCUGAGAAGAACAAGAUUGCCAUCGGAGCCUCAGGACUGAUCCUGGGUCUGGUCUUAUCUCUGGCUGGAUUCAUCUACUACAAGAGGAAGGCCCGAGGAAGGAUUCUGGUUCCCAGUAGCUGAUUCUGGACCUGGUUCUGGUCCUGUAGCUGUUUGUCAGAUGGAAUAAAAAGCAGCAGCUGCUUCAACCUGCUUCGUGUGUUUCAGCUCAGCAGACUGUCGGUCCUGGACCAUCUGCUGGGCCGACUCUACUCCUGAUUCUCUGAUGAUCUGGACUCUGAUACUCAGCUGGUCUGAACCUAAUCCAGGACUGUGGUGUUACUCUGAUGGUCCUGGACCAGGUCUAAACCUGAUCCAGGACUGUGGUGUUACUCUGAUGGUCCUGGACCAGGUCUGAACCUGAUCCAGGACUGUGGUGUUACUCUGAUGGUCCUGGACCAGGUCUGAACCUGAUCCAGGACUGUGGUGUUGCUCUGAUGGUCCUGGACCAGGUCUAAACCUGAUCCAGGACUGUGGUGUUGCUCUGAUGGUCCUGGACCAGGUCUGAACCUGAUCCAGGACUGUGGUGUUGCUCUGAUGGUCCUGGACCAGGUCUGAACCUGAUCCAGGACUGUGGUGUUGCUCUGAUGGUCCUGGACCAGGUCUGAACCUGAUCCAGGACUGUGGUGUUACUCUGAUGGUCCUGGACCAGGUCUGAACCUGAUCCAGGACUGUGGUGUUGCUCUGAUGGUCCUGGACCAGGUCUGAACCUGAUCCAGGACUGUGGUGUUGCUCUGAUGGUCCUGGACCAGGUCUGAACCUGAUCCAGGACUGUGGUGUUACUCUGAUGGUCCUGGACCUGGUCUGAACCUGAUCCAGGACUGUGGUGUUGCUCUGAUGGUCCUGGACCAGGUCUAAACCUGAUCCAGGACUGUGGUGUUACUCUGAUGGUCCUGGACCAGGUCUAGUCUGGACUCUGGUGUAUCCCAGCUGGAUCUGAACUCUGCUUCAUCUACAUGUGAUAUGAUUCUUUUCUGUGUGAAAUCAAUAUUUUUCAGCCACUUAUAUCCACAAACGUAAUAACUCUGGUCUUUAAAUCAGAUAUAAUCAGUUAUUUGAAUGAUUUGGGGGCUGGUAGGUUGUGUGAUUGUUAGAUUUAUAUAUUUCUACUGGAGUGGAACAUUUUCUAACCCUAAUAAACUGAUCAGAAAAC